UUCCGGUUGAUCCUGCCGGAGGUCACUGCUAUUGGGGUUCGACUAAGCCAUGCAAGUGCGACUGGUGCUGUGCGCGACCAGGGCGGACGGCUCAGUAACACGUGGGCAACCUACCCUCAGGUAAGGGAUAACCCCGGGAAACUGGGGAUAAUACCUGAUAGGUAAAGAAUGCUGGAAGGAGUGCUUUGCCGAAAGCUCCGGCGCCUGAGGAUGGGCCUGCGGCCGAUUAGGUUAGUUGGCGGUGUAACGGACCACCAAGCCUAAGAUCGGUACGGGCACUGGGAGUGGGAGCCCGGAGAUGGGGGCUGAGAAAAGGCCCCAGGCCCUACGGGGCGCAGCAGGCGCGAAAACUCCGCAAUGCGCGAUAGCGUGAUCGGGGGAACUGAAGUCCUCAACUGUUUAGUGACAGCUCUUCCGGGUACUNAUGUGCUCUGAGAAUAAGAGCGGGGUAAGACCGGUGCCAGCCGCCGCGGUAACACCGGCCGCUCAAGUGGUGGCCACUAUUAUUGGGCCUAAAGCGUUCGUAGCCGGUCCGUUAAGUCCCUUGGGAAAUCCGCUCGAUUAACGAAUGGGAUCCAGGGGAUACUGGUGGACUAGGGGGCGAGAGAAGUCAGAGGUACUCCGGGGGUAGCGGUGAAAAGCUGUAAUCCUCGGGGGACCACCAGUGGCGAAGGCGUCUGACUAGAGCGCGCCCGACGGUGAUGGACGAAAGCCAGGGGAGCGAACGGGAUUAGAUACCCCGGUAGUCCUGGCCGUAAACGCUGCGGGCUAGGUGUUACGUCCUCUACGUGGGGAUGUAGUGCCGAAGAGAAGUUGAUAAGCCCGCCGCUUGGGAAGUAUUACCGCAAG
This 849-nucleotide ribosomal RNA is filed under the name uncultured archaeon. RNAcentral describes it as "bacterial SSU rRNA". It matches the Rfam family "Archaeal small subunit ribosomal RNA", at positions 1 to 847 of the family's 1478-position model. The record is from RNAcentral.